Molecule: ribosomal RNA, 502 nt
Filed under: Streptomyces sp. 310B10
Lineage: Bacteria; Bacillati; Actinomycetota; Actinomycetes; Kitasatosporales; Streptomycetaceae
Description: bacterial SSU rRNA
Rfam family: Bacterial small subunit ribosomal RNA
Source: RNAcentral
UAGUGGCGAACGGGUGAGUAACACGUGGGCAAUCUGCCCUGCACUCUGGGACAAGCCCUGGAAACGGGGUCUAAUACCGGAUAUGACCAUUGACCGCAUGGUUGGUGGUGUAAAGCUCCGGCGGUGCAGGAUGAGCCCGCGGCCUAUCAGCUUGUUGGUGGGGUGAUGGCCUACCAAGGCGACGACGGGUAGCCGGCCUGAGAGGGCGACCGGCCACACUGGGACUGAGACACGGCCCAGACUCCUACGGGAGGCAGCAGUGGGGAAUAUUGCACAAUGGGCGAAAGCCUGAUGCAGCGACGCCGCAGUGAGGGAUGACGGCCUUCGGGUUGUAAACCUCUUUCAGCAGGGAAGAAGCGCANGUGACGGUACCUGCAGAAGAAGCACCGGCUAACUACGUGCCAGCAGCCCGCGGUAAUACGUAGGGUGCGAGCGUUGUCCGGAAUUAUUGGGCGUAAAGAGCUCGUAGGCGGCUUGUCGCGUCGGAUGUGAAAGCCCGGCG